GAGUUUGAUUAUGGCUCAGGAUGAACGCUGACAGAAUGCUUAACACAUGCAAGUCUACUUGAAUUUGGGUUUUUUAACUUCGAUUUAGGUGGCGGACGGGUGAGUAACGCGUAAAGAACUUGCCUCACAGCUAGGGACAACAUUUGGAAACGAAUGCUAAUACCUAAUAUUAUGAUUUUAGGGCAUCCUAGAAUUAUGAAAGCUAUAUGCGCUGUGAGAGAGCUUUGCGUCCCAUUAGCUAGUUGGAGAGGUAACGGCUCACCAAGGCGAUGAUGGGUAGCCGGCCUGAGAGGGUGAUCGGCCACAAGGGGACUGAGACACGGCCCUUACUCCUACGGGAGGCAGCAGUGGGGAAUAUUGGACAAUGGACCAAGAGUCUGAUCCAGCAAUUCUGUGUGCACGAUGAAGUUUUUCGGAAUGUAAAGUGCUUUCAGUUGGGAAGAAAAAA
This 448-nucleotide ribosomal RNA is filed under the name Fusobacterium canifelinum. Its description in RNAcentral is "bacterial SSU rRNA". It matches the Rfam family "Bacterial small subunit ribosomal RNA", at positions 9 to 453 of the family's 1533-position model. The record is from RNAcentral. Lineage: Bacteria; Fusobacteriati; Fusobacteriota; Fusobacteriia; Fusobacteriales; Fusobacteriaceae.